Long non-coding RNA from Cavia porcellus (domestic guinea pig), 9030 nucleotides. RefSeq lists it as uncharacterized. Lineage: Eukaryota; Metazoa; Chordata; Mammalia; Rodentia; Caviidae. The transcript is spliced from 3 exons. The record is from RefSeq and is a predicted model, not a curated record.
GACAACCCGCCCCGCCCCCACCUCCCCAGAAUGCCUGCAGAUUUGCACCGAGUCUGUGAUACCGUGUUCCGUUCUUCAUUUACAUCUGAUGCAAAACGAAGCAGGCCUUCGAGAGUACACAAGGCCAAGCGAGUUUCUGAGGAGACAACGUCCCAAAUGCCUGUUUGCAUGAGGAGAAGCGAUGUAGGCAUUUCGCAUAAAAGAGCACUGCCAUUUUCCUGGUGGCGCGGCUGCCUGGCUGUCACUGGUGUUCACUCCCCAGUGUCCCCAGCUGAGAGUGUGGGUUGCAAGGAUGAGCUCUGUUGAAGAGAGGAAUAUUUCGGAAACGGUGUUGUCUCCACUCCGGCUGAUUCACAGAUAUUUGUGUGAGAAGUAACUUUUUCCCAACCACAGCUGCCCAGUAGGAAAAAAAGUCACUUCCCAAGGGAGGCAACAGCAGGGGAGGAAGAGGGUCAGGCCGAGCCCAUGUGAGAUUUGAGGGUCCCGUCGCUGAUGAAGACAGCCUCUGGCUGCAGUAUUGUAGAAUGACACGUAUGAGGGUUUCCUGUUCUCCAGUGAGCUCUUUAGAGAAGCGAGGUUUUGGGUGUAUCCCAAAGUCAGAUGAAAGGAAGCAUGUGUCUGUUGGUCUUGCAACAAGUAUGGAACGUGUAGAAUCACUGGAAGGCUCAGGCCACACGGUAGAGCUGCGGGACAGGGUGUGGCAAGAGCAAAUCGAGUGCCACCUUGAGACUCUGGACACAAAGAUGUCGCUCUUCCUGCACUGGCCGCCAGUGUUGAGUAACAGAUUCCUGAGCCAGUCUUGGCGUAGGAGGUGUCUGCUCCCAUCCACACUUGCCUGACCUGGAGGAAAGCCUUGUUCUUAAGCUCCACCUGCCAUCUUCGCCCCCAGAGAAAGUCAGAUUCCACGCUACGCUUGCCAGGAACCCCGGGUUCGUGGUGUAGAUUUUAAGCAUGCAGGUCUAGGCCUCUGCUUGGGAGAUCAGAAUGAAGGAAAGUGAACCCUUUUCUAAAAACGCUGCUUUUGCUUUCUUGGUGAGGGGCAUUUCCUGGAGCCCAAAAGAGCGGGAGGGAGUGUUCUUCUCAAGCACAACAUUUUGGUGAAGCCCAUGUGUGAUGAUACCACUGUAACCACACAGGAAUUUACCACAGGAAGUGUCCCAGCUGGUGCUUAUUAGCAUUAGAACAAAUUACACAAAGCAAAUUGUUAGCAGACAUGUCUCCAUAAUCUUUAACUGGUGGCAAUGAAUAAGAGUGAUCCUCCUUCAAGCAAAUGCUAGAUUUCCAAACAUCCAGCCUCCAAUUGUCCGUGAAGGGAUCGCCUUGGACUAGGACAGCCUGGGAGGGAGGUGGCACCCCGGAAACCAAGGCCCCAGAGCCCUGUGCACCACAGCAAGCCCAGGAUGGGCAGAUACGGCUGCCCACUUAAAUUUCACAAGAUGGAACCAGGCACGUCUUUGACCAUCUGCUGGGCUCCUCUUGGGGUACUCAGUGUGGUCCUCUCAUGCCAGAAAUGGGGUGAGGGUUUAAAGCACAUGGCAAGACCACAGGAGAGGCAGGCGAGUGUUUGGUCUUUACAGUGUGUUUAUAAUUAAAAAAAAAAAAAAGCAAAUUGGUCCCAGCACAGGUUUGCACCCACCUCAACACAGUAUAGCAGCUUAAAAAACAAUCAGCCUCUACCCAGUUCUGUGUCUUGUUACUGAGGUUUAGACAAAAGUGAUGCACACCCCUUCCUCCUGUAGCCCCUGGAGGACAGUUGGAAAGGAGCCUCCAUGCUGGGGAGUGGGCACGCCUGCCGCGUAUGCUUGCGAAGAUCUGGCCAUAGCUUUAGAAAGAGAGCAGGAUAUUUCCAUCCUUCAGGGCUUUCUGUCAAUGACUAAAUUCAAGUCCCCAGUCACUUCUGGCAUUUCUAAUUUUCCCCCAGGAUUUGACAAAAAUUCUUCUUAAAAAAAAUCUCAAAGGCUAAUUUAAAAAAUAAUUUUAAUUAGAAAAAUAAGAUACUCCAUACAUAAACACAGACACAGGUCAAUGCCACAUCCUGGGUCAGGACUGUUAGAAUAGUUGUUCUUUGAUUUUUUUUUUCCCCCUUAAGAAAUGUUAGAUUUUGUUCUCCUUUUUCUCUCGAGGAAACCAAACCCAACCCAGUACUCCUUCCUAAGUUUAAUCUUCACUCCUGCUUUCCUGCUGAGAAGAAAAACCUUGUAGCCCUGCUAAAGGGAGAGGGCGGGGCCUGGUAUCCUCCCUGGGGUGCUCUGAACAAGCAAGGGCUUAGGAACUGCAGCCCGCCUGGAGCUCUACAGAUGUCUUUUUUCUGUCCCGGGUGAACUGUCCAGUUUGAAAUGUCCAGUUCCUGAGGGAACGGGCCCAGAACCCCAGAGCCCUUGUGGUAACCCAGCCGCCUGUAGGGCAUACCUUGCUUGCCUAAAAGGGCACUGCUAGCAGUCACAGCCAGUGGGUGACAAGGGACUGGGACCUGGAGACAAAGGCCACUAGCAUUUUAAACCAAACAAAUGCCUCCCACCUUGCUGCCGAGACCUUUCCAAGGCCACAUACACACACUCACACCCACCCCCCCUCUUUUACCUAAGGUCUUCACAAAGGAAAUAAUGUGCUUCAUAAAAUAUUCAAAAUGCCUUAGGCAAUAGAAUUGUCUCUUGAUUUCUUUUCAAGUGUUUAACGUACAAAUGUAAUUGGAAAUGUUUAGAACAUGAACGCACACACUUUAAUUUGAAAUUAUGCAAAACAGUAUCAUUAUUCAUUACAACCUGAAACCAAGCUACCACAAUGGAAUAACAAGCACCCUAUCUGUCAAGUGUGAGGCCCUCAAGUAGCUCUCAUCUGGGCCACCAUGACCCCCUGGCCUGACCCUUUAAGGUCUGCUUCGGAGGCAAUGGUUUGGCAUGUUCUACAUUUGAAAAGCUCUUUUAACUGCCUGGUUUGACAAGAUUUUUGAGAGGGAUGAAAAUUAAUUAUAAUUGCAGUAUAGCUACAAUCAUUUGGUCAGCUAAUUGCAUUUCAAUACAAAAACAAGCAAGAGGCAUUUCCUCUCCAGGUUAUUCUCCCUUAUGGCAGCAUUCAGUUUAAAAGCAGUGAGAUUUUUUAAAAGUCAAACCUUAAAUACCAAGGCUUCAGCAAUCUGGCCUGCUUAAAGCUCCACUUGGAUGGGACAGCACCUGGGUGGCAGCAACUGCACAGGGUGCCGUGCCAGUUUUCUCCUAGGCUUGACACAGGAACAGGACUCUCCCUGGAAAAUCACCCCAGGCAUGGCCUGGGGCUGAUUUUAUUUGGGGCACCAUGGUUUAUGUGUUUGUAGCCAGGGAGGCGCUGGUGAGGGUCACUGGACAUUUUGAAAAGAAAAAGAAAGCUUAAGGCUGCAAGUCAUUAAAGGUGGCACUUGCUGGUGGAGGAGGAUGCACCGCAGCAAGGGACGAGCCAAAAUCAAGGAGAGGAGCGCCUAGGCUGCCGAGGAAUCUUUCUGGAUCGCACUGUUUGCUUGCUUUCUUUCUUUCUAAAGAAAAAACAGAAAAACCAAGAAACAAACACACCAAAAAAAAAAAAAAAAAAAAACCCAACAAAAGCAAAAUGACAAUAAUAAACCCAACAAUAGCUAUAUAAGUUUUCAAAACAAGAAGGUAGGAAUUUAGCAAUGGUUGUUAUACUGCAUAUAGCUUAUCUUCAUAACAACCAUUCAGGUUACCAGAUGAUCACUCUGUUUUCAGGCAGGCAGUUCUGAAUAGGUAAGCUGCCGGACCUUCUGGGGGGAAUUAUCCAAGUCUAGAGCAUUAGGGAGCUCCCAGCAGUAACUAACCUUUGAGGGACAGAGUCUGUUCAUCACUUUAACAUUUGAAGAUUCUGUCUGACUCAAGUUAGUUUUGCCUGUGCUGAUUGAAGUCAACAGACUUUUUGCCCUAUAGCACCCCACUCAAGCUCAGUUCAGUGACAAGUUUGGGACCUCUCUUCUUUCCCUUCUCUGUCACAGUCUAAAUCAGCCACCAUUUUUGGGUCCAAAACAUUCUGUUAUCAAGUGUUUUCUUCAGUGCUGCUCCUCAAAGUGGGCCCAGUAGCACAGUGUGGAAUGUGUCUUAUGGUCUUCAUUUAAAUUGAUUUACAGAGGCUUGCUAUGCAGACCCACCCAGGGCUGCCCUCAAGGCCAUGCGGGUCAUGCUCCACAAAGGGCAGCUGGCCAGCGGUCAGGGGAACGUGAGAUCUCAUCCAGUUCCGCUUGCCCGCUAAGACCCCCUUCAGGCUGCAUCCUGGAGGAAGCUGAGCUUUUUCUGUCUUUUUUUGGUACCAGAAUCAAACUCUCGAGCUUGUGCUUGCAGGCAGGCACUGUGCCGCUGAGAUAUAGCCCCUGCCCAGCGGGCCCUUUUCUAAGUCAUGUUUGGGCCAGUGGAGAUCCUGGGCUAUCAGCGUCCCUCACCAUCCCUUAGAUGACAAGGUCUCCUCUCUGACUCUGCAGGUAUUUUUUUAAGAAAAAGAACAUCAAAGGCGUAUUUAUUGUGAAGCUAUGUUUCCUUUCAGGGGGAAUAAAGAAAGAAUAAAGAGAGGAAAAGAAGAAAGAAAGAGAGAGAGAGAGACUAGCAGAGAAGAGGCUGUCUUCCUGCCUAGUAAAUUGUGGGUUCAUUAUACUUCUCUGGACACAGCUGUGAUGGAGUAGAAAAUCAAUUUUUUUCUAUUACUCCAUGGUGAGGAAGGAAACCUAUUUGUAAAUUGAAUUAAACCCAAUAAUAGCAUGUCUGUGUAUUUGUGGAGAACUAGAAAAAUUAGCCACAGAUACAAAUACAGAAUCCAGCAAUGUAAUUAGAAAUCAGAACUCUCCCAUUUCGAAGCUUAGUCGAGACAUUUUUCUUUUUACAAGAAACACCCACGGCGAAAUGUCACUACGAUCUUAAGUGUGCCAACGCCUGGAUGCCACAGUGAGGGCUCUGACAAGGAAGGCAUCCCAAGGCCCAUCUGGGCUGUGCACGCCUCCCAGCUCAUGCCUUUGCUGCCUGUCUGUCAGUAGCUAACGACUGGAUAGGAGCGUGGACCCUCUAGGGGGUAGUUCCUCCCAGAGCUGCAGUGUGCAUUGCUGACCUCGGAGUAAAUUCCCUAUUUUGGUGUAAACUGGACCGUGUUCCUGGAAACCCCAGCCCAGCCACCCAGUUCAGAAGAAGCAAGCAAGCGACUGCACUCAGUGGUAGUGAGAUUUCAUUAGCAAUCUGCCCUCCAGUGGAGCAACGCAGUACUUCAGGUAACUAGGGAUAGAAAGGAUCUGCCUCCUCCCCUCCUUCCUUUUAGAGAAAAAAAAGAAAAUCAAGUUUUCCGGAUAGUGAAGGUGAGGGAGUCAUCCUCAGAGGUCAGCUUCCAAGCUGAGUCCAGCAAGGCUCAUACGGAAAGGUCCCCAGGUCAGAGGAGAGGCAGGGGUGCUGUGCUGUGCUGUCCCUGCACCAUCCUCAUGGACAAAGCUUUUCUUACAGCCUUUGGACCCUCCAGGGCUCACCUCGGGCAAAAGCAUUCAUACCCCUGUGCCUCCUUAGACAAAAGCACCCAUCCCAGGAACACCCAACACACCAAGAGUGUCAACAAUAACAGAGGUGGUUUUUUUUGUAAUUUUUUUGGGCAGGUCAGUGACACAUACAAGCCUUUCGAAAAAAGUAUACUGAAUGAAAAGGCAAAGGUACACAUGUUUUAUAAAAAGGCCAAGUCUCUGCGAGUGUGAGGGGCGAAUCUGCUUGGUGAUGUUAGCGGGAUGCUGGUAAGGUAGAGGUUAAUCUUGAGGUCUGUUCUCUUGGGUUUGGCGUCUGUCAUUCAGAUCAUUUCAGAACUUGGCUUGCUUCAGCUUGUCAAUGUGGUAACAGAGUUUCAGGGCAGGUCCCAGCUUCAGGCCCAGGUACUUCAUGAUCAUGUCACUUUUCAGCAACAAAAGAGCAUUGCCAUCGAUCUCCUGGUGGAACAGGAUCAGAAAAGGCCCAGAAAAUGAUUAGAACAGUCAAAACGUGGCUAAGGUGCACAGUGCUCCCCACAUAUUCUCUGGGCCUGAGGGCAAGAUCUCCUUUUGCAAAAAGUUAAAGUAAACUAGUACCCUGUGCUCCCCCCCAGCUCUGUUCCCAGUAUCCCAUCUAUGAUAUUUGUUACCCACACAGGGGCUAUAGGAUUCAUGAAGCUAGCCAGGCUGUCUUCUUCACUCAACAAACGUUAUUUUUCAGGUUGGGAGAAGAGAUACAGGGAACUCGCAUCACUGAGCUCACCAGCCACUCCCGCCAUCCAUUCAUUCAUCCAUCCAUCCAUCCAUCCCUCCAUCCCUCCAUCCAAUACUGAUGGAGUGCCUGCUCAGCAUGGCUGACUUUCUACACCCUUGGUAAAGUGACAGGGGUCGGGGGAGCCCAUCUGUGGGUCCCCCUCAGGAGCCUCAUUUCCUGAUGACCCUUCUUUACCCUACCUUGUGGACCCCCACCAUCUCCUAUCACCCUGGGAAGAAAGCCAGACUGCCCCUGGCCAAUCUGCCUACACACAGCCCCCACUGUCAGGCAGUGUUUAAAGUGUGCCUAACAAAAUGUGAGUGUUGAAUUAGAAGGUCCGCCCUGGAUCUGAAUUACCAAGUAAAAUGAGGAACAGAGAGGUGGGGAAAUUGGUCUGGUGACAGGCAGAAUAAUUAAUGUCCCUUCCCCUUCCUCCGAGAUGACUACAUCUUAAUCCCUGAACUUUGUGUGACUUGGUUAGGGGACUUGGUAAAGCGGAAGUCAGGCUAGGAUUCAGGGUGCUGGUCAGCUGACUUCGAAGUAGGGAGAUUAAACAAGGAUUAUGGGGAGAGCUGAAGGGUCCUUAAAAGUAGAGGAAAGUCAGAAGACAGGAUCCCCAGAGAGGCAGCCUCCAGGGGGUUUUACUAGAUGUCCCUGGCUUGAAAACUGAGCUCAGGGGGAACACAAGGAAUGUGUUGUGUUGGAGCUGGCCAAGGACGGGAAACAGAUCCUUCCCAGAACAUCCAAGAAGGAACACAGUCCUGCUGACCGACACCUGGUCGCAGUCCAGGGAGACCCCGGUCAGGCCCUGACCUACAAACUGUAAGAAUUGCCCGAGUAAUUGUAACAAUACCCGCUAACAGAAGGCUAUCUACAAGCCAGCGCCACGCCGAGUGCUUUAUGUGCAUUUUCUCAUUCAGUCCUCAAAGCAGCCGAGCAUAGGCAGUCUCCCAGCCCUCCUGGCACACAUAGGUGUGCGAUAAAUGACUGUUGGAGGCACAGACAGACGGAUGGAUGUGCAGGAGAGCAGGCGCGCCUGAUGAAGGCCAAAAUGAGAACAGAUGGGACCAAUAGCCCUUAUAAACAGAAUCAAGUGGGUGUUCCGUUCUGAGACGCCUGUGGCUGCAUCUGUCUCUUUCUCAUCUCUGUCUCCCUCGAGGGUGCCCCAGGGAUCCAUCCAGACCCCCACACCUGGGGAUCCUGAAACACCCCCAACCCGCUCCCCAGCCAGCCCCUGCGCGAGCUCACGUGCUUUCUGAAGAGCUCCACGUGCGGCCCCAGGGCCUGCGGGUCAGCAUCCUUCACAAACCGGACCACGUCCUCCACGGUCCAGGUGGCAGGGUUUCUGGUCCUCGGUGGCCUGGCGUCCUGGCCAUCUGCAGGGAGGCUGGAGGCUGAACGGAGCAAGCAGAGGGGCCGGUGAGUUUCUGGGCUUCGGUGCCUACCUGGUGCUGCCUGCCACUUCUGACUGGGGAGGACUGGGUGAGGGGACACUUGGUGCCUUGGAGUCCAACGUGGGCCCUGUCUGCCCCAUGGGCUUCACUCUGAGACACUGAAGACGCAGUGUGCCUAUUGGUCUCAGGCUGGGCCUCUGCAGAAUGGCUAAUCCCCACCUCGACCACACCAGCCCUGAUUCUGAGUUCUCCACCUCUGUCUGAACCCACGGCAGGACAGUGUGUCACUGUACUCACUGCCCAGGCGCCCGCGGAGGCCAUCAGAGCACUGGUUCUGCUCUUCGCAUGGCCCUGAGAUGCCCAGGGCCACCCCUGCGCCUGGCCAAGCCGCUCCGUGGGCACCGUCUGUGAGCAUCACUUCCCUUGCAGCGGAUGGACGUGCUUAGGACGGCAGAGUGGGAGGGAUCAGGAAGCAGCUGGCUGGGGGUGGCCAGGGCUCACCUGUUCUCGUGUGCACCCUAACCUAACUCAUCCUCUGCCCCCAGGGCCAGUGCCCCCCUCCACUGUCCACCUCCUCCCUCUUCUUUGCUCCCCACAUUUAAUUCUUCUGCAGCACUGGGGAGGACACCUCUGGGUGCCUAUCCCCCCUUUCUAUCCCCGCUGAAGCUUGGCUCAGAACCUCUCGCCAACCCCUGUGACAGUUUCCUACAGGUCUCUUUGCCCCAGCGCAGAACUGCCACCAGCUGCUGCCAUUCUUGAGACCCAGCUGUGUCUGGGCACAUCUCUCAGACUCUCCGAGGGUCCCCCUAGCCAGACAUUGUACCCCAAGAUCAAGGGCUGCUUUUGGUCUCCGUGGUACCUUUCCUUCCUAGAAGGAGGGGGAGAAGUGUUUUGGUGGCAGAGACCGCCAGAGCUGCUGGCUGCUAACAAUGUGAGCCGGCCACACCGGGAGUAACGUGGCCACACUCUCCAGCCGGAGGGCAGCUGUGAAGACCGGAACCCAGGAGUGCCAGCCCUCCGGCUGAGCUGGGUCAGGCGGGCCACAGAGUCUCCCCAAGGCCAGUGUCUCCCACCGUCUUCAUCCUUAGCUGGCACCCUGGCUUCUGUCAGGAGACCUGCACCUCCUGCCUCCCACCGAUGCCCACUGGCUGUCCCAGCCGGGGAACCCCAGCUGCCCGUGUGAGCAAUGUUGCCCUCUCUCGCUGUCCGCACAUCACCUGCCUCUCCCCUUUUACCCUGACCCAAGCUGCUGUCUACACUGUGCUUUGUAGACCAACUGUUUACGGGCUUUUCUCUGACUCGCAACCAGAUUUUAAUUUCCCGAGGAUUCUCCCUGUGCCUUCCUAACUACUGACACCUUUUCUGUAAAGGGCUUGGGUGAAGUGUUUGGUGAAAAAUAAAGCAUGGUCUUCUGGUUA